AUUAAAUAGAAAUGUAUAUGCAAAACAGCGAGAAAUUUGUAGAUACGUUGAAUGUUGUUGCUUUCACAUUUGCAACUCUUAGUAGUUGUUCAAAACAACAAUGUCGAGCAAAGAUGUUUGCGAUGUUUGAAUGAUUCUUGGAUUGUAUUUGGAUUCCAUCGGUACUAUGGCCUGUUGAUUCGGCACCUUUGUCAUUUUAGCAACUUUUGUUUUCUUUUCUGUGUCGAUGUAGUUCUCUAUACCAUAUUCAUGUUCAUAUCAAUGUCCAUAUCAAGGUCCAUAUCAAUGUCCAUAUCAAUUUCCCAUGUUCCAUUACAUAUCCCGUGUUCUUUCCUUCUUCCAGCUUUUACAUGCUAGCCUUUUAUACAAUGAUUCCUCUCAUCUCGACUCGUUUGAUGAAUGGGCGUUUAGUUUUUGCAACAACAUAUGCGUUGGGUUAUCUCAUAUCGGGAAACACUUUCUGCCACUUUUAACUUGAACAAAGUUGGAGAAAUAAAGUGAUGGCAGAUAUUGCAAGUUGUUUAUAGUGUGCCUGUAGAAAUGUAAAAACGCUAUGUUUCGUGAAUGCCCAGCCUGUAAAUCGAAAUAAGAUUUCGUAUUUAUUAAGCAUUGGAAGAUCACAAUUGUGACUUUGUGGGUUUCGUAAAGAACAUCAUAUAGAUUUCUUUGACCAAGUGUAAUAAAGCAAAACACACGGACAUAGUAUGGAUAUGGACACAGCAUGGGGUAUGGACACAAGCAACACUACCAGUCGUUUGAAACGAUGAAAUGGGCAACAAGUCGAUUNGUUUUUCAUCUAUCAAUCGGUGNAA
RNAcentral lists this small RNA (812 nucleotides) under Schizosaccharomyces pombe (fission yeast). RNAcentral describes it as "small heterochromatic RNA precursor". The record is from RNAcentral. Lineage: Eukaryota; Fungi; Ascomycota; Schizosaccharomycetes; Schizosaccharomycetales; Schizosaccharomycetaceae.